Molecule: ribosomal RNA, 926 nt
Filed under: uncultured bacterium
Lineage: Bacteria
Description: bacterial SSU rRNA
Rfam family: Bacterial small subunit ribosomal RNA
Source: RNAcentral
AGAGUUUGAUCCUGGCUCAGGAUGAACGCUGGCGGCGUGCCUAAUACAUGCAAGUCGAGCGAACAGACGAGGAGCUUGCUCCUCUGACGUUAGCGGCGGACGGGUGAGUAACACGUGGAUAACCUACCUAUAAGACUGGGAUAACUUCGGGAAACCGGAGCUAAUACCGGAUAAUAUAUUGAACCGCAUGGUUCAAUAGUGAAAGACGGUUUUGCUGUCACUUAUAGAUGGAUCCGCGCCGCAUUAGCUAGUUGGUAAGGUAACGGCUUACCAAGGCAACGAUGCGUAGCCGACCUGAGAGGGUGAUCGGCCACACUGGAACUGAGACACGGUCCAGACUCCUACGGGAGGCAGCAGUAGGGAAUCUUCCGCAAUGGGCGAAAGCCUGACGGAGCAACGCCGCGUGAGUGAUGAAGGUCUUCGGAUCGUAAAACUCUGUUAUUAGGGAAGAACAAAUGUGUAAGUAACUAUGCACGUCUUGACGGUACCUAAUCAGAAAGCCACGGCUAACUACGUGCCAGCAGCCGCGGUAAUACGUAGGUGGCAAGCGUUAUCCGGAAUUAUUGGGCGUAAAGCGCGCGUAGGCGGUUUUUUAAGUCUGAUGUGAAAGCCCACGGCUCAACCGUGGAGGGUCAUUGGAAACUGGAAAACUUGAGUGCAGAAGAGGAAAGUGGAAUUCCAUGUGUAGCGGUGAAAUGCGCAGAGAUAUGGAGGAACACCAGUGGCGAGGCGACUUUCUGGUCUGUAACUGACGCUGAUGUGCGAAAGCGUGGGGAUCAAACAGGAUUAGAUACCCUGGUAGUCCACGCCGUAAACGAUGAGUGCUAAGUGUUAGGGGGUCUUCCGCCCCUUAGUGCUGCAGCUAACCGCAUUAGCACUCCGCCUGGGGAGUACGACCGCAAGGUUGAAACUCAAAGAAUUGACGG